UAGGGAAUUUUCGUCAAUGGGGGGAACCCUGAACGAGCAAUGCCGCGUGUGUGAAGAAGGUCUUCGGAUCGUAAAGCACUGUUGUAAGUGAAGAAUGCCAUAUAGAGGAAAUGCUAUGUGGGUGACGGUAGCUUACCAGAAAGCCACGGCUAACUACGUGCCAGCAGCCGCGGUAAUACGUAGGUGGCAAAGCGUUAUCCGGAAUCAUUGGGCGUAAAGGGUGCGUAGGUGCACGAUAAGUCUGAAGUAAAAGGCAACAGCUCAACUGUUGUAUGCUUUGGAAACUGUCGAGCUAGAGUGCAGAAGAGGGCGAUGGAAUUCCAUGUGUAGCGGUAAAAUGCGUAGAUAUAUGGAGGAACACCAGUGGCGAAGGCGGUCGCCUGGUCUGUAACUGACACUGAUGCACGAAGGCGUGGGGAGCAAACAGGAUUAAAACC
Molecule: ribosomal RNA, 437 nt
Filed under: uncultured bacterium
Lineage: Bacteria
Description: bacterial SSU rRNA
Rfam family: Bacterial small subunit ribosomal RNA
Source: RNAcentral